GCGUGCUUAACACAUGCAAGUCGAACGAAGCACUUUAUUUGUUUUCCUUCGGGACUGAUUAUUUUGUGACUGAGUGGCGGACGGGUGAGUAACGCGUGGGUAACCUGCCUUGUACAGGGGGAUAACAGUUGGAAACGGCUGCUAAUACCGCAUAAGCGCACAGCAUCGCAUGAUGCAGUGUGAAAAACUCCGGUGGUAUAAGAUGGACCCGCGUUGGAUUAGCUAGUUGGUGAGGUAACGGCCCACCAAGGCGACGAUCCAUAGCCGACCUGAGAGGGUGACCGGCCACAUUGGGACUGAGACACGGCCCAAACUCCUACGGGAGGCAGCAGUGGGGAAUAUUGCACAAUGGGCGAAAGCCUGAUGCAGCGACGCCGCGUGAGCGAAGAAGUAUUUCGGUAUGUAAAGCUCUAUCAGCAGGGAAGAUAAUGACGGUACCUGACUAAGAAGCACCGGCUAAAUACGUGCCAGCAGCCGCGGUAAUACGUAUGGAGCAAGCGUUAUCCGGAUUUACUGGGUGUAAAGGGUGCGUAGGUGACAGUGCAAGUCAGAUGUGAAAGGCCGGGGCUCAACCCCGGAGCUGCAUUUGAAACUGCAUAGCUAGAGUACAGGAGAGGCAGGCGGAAUUCCUAGUGUAGCGGUGAAAUGCGUAGAUAUUAGGAGGAACACCAGUGGCGAAGGCGGCCUGCUGGACUGUUACUGACACUGAGGCACGAAAGCGUGGGGAGCAAACAGGAUUAGAUACCCUGGUAGUCCACGCCGUAAACGAUGAAUACUUGGGUGUGGUGACCGUAUAGGCUUCGGUGCCGCCGCUAACGCAGUAAGAUUUCCAAAUGGGGGAAUUACGUUAGCAAAAAAAAAACAAAGGAUGAAGGGUCUCGCACAAAGGUGUAGCAUUUUUUAUUAGAACAACUAAAAACCUUACCAGGUUAGAACAUCCUUCUGACCGCACAAAUAAUCGGAGGUUUCAUCCGAGACAGAUGAGUCACGGGGUGCAAUGUUGUUGUCUGCUCGUGUCAUGAGAUGUGGGUUUAGUCCCGCAUCGAGCGCAACCCUUAUCUUCAGUAGCCAGCAGUAAGGGUCUGGGCAAUGUGGAGAGACUGCCAGGAUUAUCCUGGAGGAGUGUAGAGACGUCGUCAAAUCAUCAUGCCCCUUAUGAUCUGGGCGACACACGGGCUACAUGGGCGGUCACAGAGGGAGGCGAACUCGAGAGGGGGAGCAAACCACAAAGAGGCCGUCCCAGUUCGGACUGUAGUCUGCAACCCGAUUACACGAAGCUGGAAUCGCUAGUAA
RNAcentral lists this ribosomal RNA (1293 nucleotides) under uncultured bacterium. RNAcentral's name for it is "partial 16S ribosomal RNA". It matches the Rfam family "Bacterial small subunit ribosomal RNA", at positions 42 to 1341 of the family's 1533-position model. The record is from RNAcentral.